GUGUUCCGUCUAUGACAAUGACUUUCCGCAUGAACUCAAAUCCCUUGAUGCAUGCACUCAGGGCGAAGAAAAGAAACUUGAACCGCUCCACACCGUCAGACCCAGGAGCUGUUUCCAAAUAGACUAGAGAGCCCGGAUUGACUUCCACCAAGAGUUUGAAGUAUGGCUGUAUCAAAGCAUAGCUCCCCAUUGCCGACCCCAUAGCAUUAUCCAUGGCAAUUUCCCUUGCUCUCCACGCUUUCCAGUAUGAGACAUUUAGGCUAAAUUCCUGCCUCAAUAUCUUCC
RNAcentral lists this long non-coding RNA (285 nucleotides) under Capsella rubella. Its description in RNAcentral is "long non-coding RNA (CRUB_LNC003246)". Lineage: Eukaryota; Viridiplantae; Streptophyta; Magnoliopsida; Brassicales; Brassicaceae. The record is from RNAcentral.